AGAAAGGGACAUGCCUGAAAUGCAGAAGAGUUCUCAUUGAAUAGCUGAUUAAUACAUGACAUUUAGCUAUGCUAAACAAUUAAAAAAUAAAAUAGCACUAUUUUUGAUUUUUGCUGUGUGAAAAAUUCAAUUUAGAAAAAUGUACUAAAGAAGAAAAAGUUUUUUUUAAAUCUUAAAAAGAAAAAAAGAACUCCAUCUGACUGAAACUGAAACUCAAGGCUAAAAGCUAAGGGAACCAUUUGUAGCUUUUAAAUAGAACGUCUGUCCCUUGAUUUCUUCACUGUGAAGUACUGUUGAAGAAGUUCAAGCUCUUGAUGGAAUGAUAAGUAAUGUUGUUUUUGCUUUUUUUUUUGUCCAUUUUAAUGCCGUCUUUAAAUGCAAGCUUCGAAAACAGCAACUUUUGCCUUGUGCCUUUUAGAGAGAAGCGCCAAAUUGGUCACAGCUCAGUUCGCAUAAGUUCAGCCAGAACCAGCAGCUGGGGCUAUUUAGGUGAAAACAAAUAAAAAACAAAAUGAAAACCCCCUCAGAUAACAAAAAGGAAAACUUCUCUAAAGCAUCUGUCUC
RNAcentral lists this long non-coding RNA (564 nucleotides) under Bos taurus (domestic cattle). RNAcentral's name for it is "long non-coding RNA NONBTAT022376". Lineage: Eukaryota; Metazoa; Chordata; Mammalia; Artiodactyla; Bovidae. The record is from RNAcentral.